GAUAUUAAUAUAUAUAUAUAUAUAUUUAUCUUUAAUAUCUAUGCAUCGAACCGACAGAAACUACGAUUGUACUAUCGCGGGAAAAUAUUCCAAUCGGUCCUAUCCAUCGUCGAUGAUAUUAUCGCGAUUUUAUUCCAAUAAUUUUCGACUUCUCGCCGGCGGACACUUUAUUGUUUUCGAACGUUCUGUACGUGUUCGCGUAGUCACGUCAUAGCAUUCGUCUUUUGAAACAUGCGCCUGUGCGGUUUUGUACGCCGAUUCCGUUAGGAAAUUCCGGCAGCCGAUCGACGUUCGAUCUCGAGCGUUUUUUCUUCGUAUUCGCGUUGUAAAACCAUGUACGGAUUCUGUUCGUGCGAUUGUCGUACGAAAUAGCUCUGUAGGUAUUCUGUGCUAGUAUUAUAAUUGUACGUUUAUCGUAUUGCUGCUUUUUUCAAUCGACUUAUUUACGUGUAUAAAACUCACUUGCCGUGUACGCAGAUAAAUCCAGGAUAAAUCGUUCAAUACCGUGAUACCAAACUUCAUUUGGACUAUUAAAUACCGUUGCUGUUCAUCUGGAUGUCACUCAAGAUUGAAGUAAUUUGGACUUUGUUACAUUACUCUUAGGAGCUCUGAAGAUGGACAGUUUGCUGAAUCAGUUAUCGGCAGAUCAUUUAUGAUGUUUAUUGACUUAAAUGUAAUUAAAUCAUUAGUUGUUGCUGUUCAUCUGGAUGUCACUCAAGAUUGAAGUAAUUUGGACUUUGUUACAUUACUCUUAGGAGCUCUGAAGAUGGACAGUUUGCUGAAUCAGUUAUCAGCUGAUCAUUUAUGAUGUUUAUUGACUUAAAUGUAAUUAAAUCAUUAGUUGUUGCUGUUCAUCUGGAUGUCACUCAAGAUUGAAGUAAUUUGGACUUUGUUACAUUACUCUUAGGAGCUCUGAAGAUGGACAGUUUGCUGAAUCAGUUAUCGGCUGAUCAUUUAUGAUGUUUAUUGACUUAAAUGUAAUUAAAUCAUUAGUUGUUGCUGUUCAUCUGGAUGUCACUCAAGAUUGAAGUAAUUUGGACUUUGUUACAUUACUCUUAGGAGCUCUGAAGAUGGACAGUUUGCUGAAUCAGUUAUCGGCUGAUCAUUUAUGAUGUUUAUUGACGUAAAUGUAAUUAAAUCAUUAGUUGUUGCUGUUCAUCUGGAUGUCACUCAAGAUUGAAGUAAUUUGGACUUUGUUACAUUACUCUUAGGAGCUCUGAAGAUGGACAGUUUGCUGAAUCAGUUAUCGGCAGAUCAUUUAUGAUGUUUAUUGACUUAAAUGUAAUUAAAUCAUUAGUUGUUGCUGUUCAUCUGGAUGUCACUCAAGAUUGAAGUAAUUUGGACUUUGUUACAUUACUCUUAGGAGCUCUGAAGAUGGACAGUUUGCUGAAUCAGUUAUCGGCAGAUCAUUUAUGAUGUUUAUUGACUUAAAUGUAAUUAAAUCAUUAGUUGUUGCUGUUCAUCUGGAUGUCACUCAAGAUUGAAGUAAUUUGGACUUUGUUACAUUACUCUUAGGAGCUCUGAAGAUGGACAGUUUGCUGAAUCAGUUAUCGGCAGAUCAUUUAUGAUGUUUAUUGACUUAAAUGUAAUUAAAUCAUUAGUUGUUGCUGUUCAUCUGGAUGUCACUCAAGAUUGAAGUAAUUUGGACUUUGUUACAUUACUCUUAGGAGCUCUGAAGAUGGACAGUUUGCUGAAUCAGUUAUCGGCUGAUCAUUUAUGAUGUUUAUUGACGUAAAUGU
Molecule: long non-coding RNA, 1739 nt
Organism: Aphis gossypii (cotton aphid)
Lineage: Eukaryota; Metazoa; Arthropoda; Insecta; Hemiptera; Aphididae
Exons: 9
Source: RefSeq, a predicted model, not a curated record